AUUGAACGCUGGCGGCAGGCCUAACACAUGCAGGUCGAGCGGAUGAAGGGAGCUUGCUCCUGGAUUCAGCGGCGGACGGGUGAGUAAUGCCUAGGAAUCUGCCUGGUAGUGGGGGAUAACGUCCGGAAACGGGCGCUAAUACCGCAUACGUCCUGAGGGGGAAAGUGGGGGAUCUUCGGACCUCACGCUAUCAGAUGAGCCUAGGUCGGAUUAGCUAGUUGGUGGGGUAAAGGCCUACCAAGGCGACGAUCCGUAACUGGUCUGAGAGGAUGAUCAGUCACACUGGAACUGAGACACGGUCCAGACUCCUACGGGAGGCAGCAGUGGGGAAUAUUGGACAAUGGGCGAAAGCCUGAUCCAGCCAUGCCGCGUGUGUGAAGAAGGUCUUCGGAUUGUAAAGCACUUUAAGUUGGGAGGAAGGGCAGUAAGUUAAUACCUUGCUGUUUUGACGUUACCAACAGAAUAAGCACCGGCUAACUUCGUG
This 484-nucleotide ribosomal RNA is filed under the name uncultured bacterium. RNAcentral describes it as "partial 16S ribosomal RNA". It matches the Rfam family "Bacterial small subunit ribosomal RNA", at positions 30 to 507 of the family's 1533-position model. The record is from RNAcentral.